CUUUGCUUGGAGGUGUGCUGAAAUGCACAUGUGGUUUUCACACUCAAAAGCAGAGUACUGCUUCUGCUGCUCCAGCACAAACGGUGCAACAACCUGCCCCUACUGUACCUGCUCA
Molecule: non-coding RNA, 115 nt
Organism: Danio rerio (zebrafish)
Lineage: Eukaryota; Metazoa; Chordata; Actinopteri; Cypriniformes; Danionidae
Source: RefSeq, a predicted model, not a curated record